Molecule: ribosomal RNA, 461 nt
Filed under: uncultured bacterium
Lineage: Bacteria
Description: bacterial SSU rRNA
Rfam family: Bacterial small subunit ribosomal RNA
Source: RNAcentral
AACGAACGCUGGCGGCAUGCCUAACACAUGCAAGUCGAACGAAGCCUUCGGGCUUAGUGGCGCACGGGUGCGUAACGCGUGGGAAUCUGCCCUUGGGUUCGGAAUAACAGUUAGAAAUGACUGCUAAUACCGGAUGAUGUCUUCGGACCAAAGAUUUAUCGCCCAAGGAUGAGCCCGCGUAGGAUUAGGUAGUUGGUGGGGUAAUGGCCCACCAAGCCGACGAUCCUUAGCUGGUCUGAGAGGAUGAUCAGCCACACUGGGACUGAGACACGGCCCAGACUCCUACGGGAGGCAGCAGUGGGGAAUAUUGGACAAUGGGCGAAAGCCUGAUCCAGCAAUGCCGCGUGAGUGAUGAAGGCCUUAGGGUUGUAAAGCUCUUUUACCAGGGAUGAUAAUGACAGUACCUGGAGAAUAAGCUCCGGCUAACUCCGUGCCAGCAGCCGCGGUAAAACGUCUAACUG